GGGUGAUGUUUCCAAAACUAUUAUGAAGUGAAAUCAGUCACUUGAUGCGCUUGACGGCUGACUCUUAAUCAGCGGGUCGAAGGUUCGAGUCCUUCAUCACCCACCA
Molecule: transfer RNA, 106 nt
Filed under: Candidatus Competibacter sp.
Lineage: Bacteria; Pseudomonadati; Pseudomonadota; Gammaproteobacteria; Candidatus Competibacteraceae
Description: tRNA-Lys
Rfam family: tRNA (bases 28-103)
About the family: Transfer RNA (tRNA) molecules are approximately 80 nucleotides in length.
Source: RNAcentral